AGCGAACGCUGGCGGCAGGCCUAACACAUGCAAGUCGAACGAACCUUUCGGGGUUAGUGGCGGACGGGUGAGUAACACGUGGGAACGUGCCUUUAGGUUCGGAAUAACUCAGGGAAACUUGUGCUAAUACCGAAUGUGCCCUUCGGGGGAAAGAUUUAUCGCCUUUAGAGCGGCCCGCGUCUGAUUAGCUAGUUGGUUGAGGUAAUGGCUCACCAAGGCGACGAUCAGUAGCUGGUCUGAGAGGAUGAUCAGCCACAUUGGGACUGAGACACGGCCCAAACUCCUACGGGAGGCAGCAGUGGGGAAUCUUGCGCAAUGGGCGAAAGCCUGACGCAGCCAUGCCGCGUGAAUGAUGAAGGUCUUAGGAGUGUAAAAUUCUUUCACCGGGGACGAUAAUGACGGUACCCGGAGAAGAAGCCCCGGCUAACUUCGUG
Molecule: ribosomal RNA, 434 nt
Filed under: uncultured bacterium
Lineage: Bacteria
Description: partial 16S ribosomal RNA
Rfam family: Bacterial small subunit ribosomal RNA
Source: RNAcentral